This 423-nucleotide ribosomal RNA is filed under the name uncultured archaeon. RNAcentral describes it as "partial 16S ribosomal RNA". It matches the Rfam family "Archaeal small subunit ribosomal RNA", at positions 323 to 746 of the family's 1478-position model. The record is from RNAcentral.
CUACGGGUCGCAGCAGUCGCGGAACUUUUACAAUGCACGCAAGUGUGAUAAAGCAAGCCAAAGUGUUUUUCGUAUAGAAAAACUUUUUCUUAGUGUAAAAACCUAGGAGAAUAAGGACUGGGAAAGACUGGUGCCAGCCGCCGCGGUAAUACCAGCAGUUCAAGUUGCAUCCCUUUUUAUUGGGUCUAAAACAUCCGUAGCUUGCCGUUUAAGUCUCUUGUGAAAUCCUACGUCUCAAGCGUGGGGCUUGCAGGAGAUACUGGACGGCUAGAGAUCGGUAGACGUAAGGAGUACGCCGGGGGUAAUGGUAAAAUAUGUUAAUCCUCGGUGGACUAACAAUCAGCGAAGGCACCUUACGAGGACGAAUCUGACAGUGAGGGAUGAAGGCCAGGGGCGCAAAACGGAUUAGAUACCCCCGUAGUC